GAUAAACGCUGGCGGCGUGCCUAACCCAUGCAAGUCGAACGAUCUCGCAAGAGAGAGUGGCGAACGAGUGAGUAACACGUAGGAAUCUGCCCCUUCGGAGGGAAUAACUAAUCGAAAGAUUAGCUAAUACCCAAGAAGCUUAGCAAUAAGCAGAGUCGAAAGGCCUGGAGGGAGGAGCCUGCGGCCCAUCAGCUAGUUGGUGAGGUAAGAGCUUACCAAGGCUACGACGGGUAGGGGGCCUGAGAGGGCGUACCCCCACGCUGGAACUGAAACACGGUCCAGACGCCUACGGGUGGCAGCAGGGAGGAGUAUUGCGCAAUGGGGGCAACCCUGACGCAGCAACGCCGCGUGAGUGAGGAAGGUUUUCGGACUGUAAAGCUCUGUCGAGCGGGAAGAAGUGUACUAUGGCUAAUAUCCAUGAUAUUUGACGGUACCGCUAGAGGAAGCACCGGCUAACUCCGUG
RNAcentral lists this ribosomal RNA (463 nucleotides) under uncultured bacterium. Its description in RNAcentral is "bacterial SSU rRNA". It matches the Rfam family "Bacterial small subunit ribosomal RNA", at positions 28 to 507 of the family's 1533-position model. The record is from RNAcentral.